GAUCCUGGCUCAGGAUGAACGCUAGCUACAGGCUUAACACAUGCAAGUCGAGGGGCAGCAUUUCAGUUUGCUUGCAAACUGAAGAUGGCGACCGGCGCACGGGUGAGUAACACGUAUCCAACCUGCCGAUAACUCUGGGAUAGCCUUUCGAAAGAAAGAUUAAUACCGGAUGGCAUAUGAUUAUCGCAUGAUAAUCCUAUUAAAGAAUUUCGGUUAUCGAUGGGGAUGCGUUUCA
Molecule: ribosomal RNA, 235 nt
Filed under: uncultured bacterium
Lineage: Bacteria
Description: partial 16S ribosomal RNA
Rfam family: Bacterial small subunit ribosomal RNA
Source: RNAcentral